UACGAAGGGGGCUAGCGUUGCUCGGAAUCACUGGGCGUAAAGGGUGCGUAGGCGGGGCUUUAAGUCAGGGGUGAAAUCCUGGAGCUCAACUCCAGAACUGCCUUUGAUACUGAAGAUCUUGAGUUCGGGAGAGGUGAGUGGAACUGCGAGUGUAGAGGUGAAAUUCGUAGAUAUUCGCAAGAACACCAGUGGCGAAGGCGGCUUACUGGUCCGGUUCUGACGCUGAGGCGCGAAAGCGUGGGGAGCAAACAGG
This 253-nucleotide ribosomal RNA is filed under the name uncultured bacterium. RNAcentral describes it as "partial 16S ribosomal RNA". It matches the Rfam family "Bacterial small subunit ribosomal RNA", at positions 524 to 776 of the family's 1533-position model. The record is from RNAcentral.